GUGAGGAAUAUUGGUCAAUGGGCGGGAGCCUGAACCAGCCAAGUCGCGUGAAGGAAGAAGGAUCUAUGGUUCGUAAACUUCUUUUGCAGGGGAAUAAAGUGCAGGACGUGUCCUGCUUUGUAUGUACCCUGAGAAUAAGGAUCGGCUAACUCCGUGCCAGCAGCCGCGGUAAUACGGAGGAUCCGAGCGUUAUCCGGAUUUAUUGGGUUUAAAGGGUGCGUAGGUGGUUUGAUAAGUCAGCGGUGAAAGUUUGCAGCUUAACUGUAAAAAUGCCGUUGAAACUGUCGGACUUGAGUGUAAAUGAGGUAGGCGGAAUGCGUGGUGUAGCGGUGAAAUGCAUAGAUAUCACGCAGAACUCCGAUUGCGAAGGCAGCUUACUAAGCUACAACUGACACUGAAGCACGAAAGCGUGGGGAUCAAACAGGAUUAGAAACCCCAGUAGUCC
RNAcentral lists this ribosomal RNA (445 nucleotides) under uncultured bacterium. RNAcentral describes it as "partial 16S ribosomal RNA". It matches the Rfam family "Bacterial small subunit ribosomal RNA", at positions 354 to 796 of the family's 1533-position model. The record is from RNAcentral.